GUUGAGGGGAAUGUUGUCUGGCUCGAGGUCACCAACUAGAUCCAUAAGCUCCAUUUCAUGUUUUUCUUAAAAAAUAUAAAGAUACAGUUUUUUUUUUCAUUAGAAAAUUAUACUAAAGAUUAGUUGAUUAUAUGAAAAGGGGUUAUGGAUCAUGAGUCAGUGUUGUCGGACCAGGCUUCAUUCCCCCCAAU
Molecule: microRNA precursor, 191 nt
Filed under: Nicotiana attenuata
Lineage: Eukaryota; Viridiplantae; Streptophyta; Magnoliopsida; Solanales; Solanaceae
Description: pre miRNA mir-166
Rfam family: mir-166 microRNA precursor family
About the family: This family represents the plant microRNA (miRNA) precursor mir-166. Animal miRNAs are transcribed as ~70nt precursors and subsequently processed by the Dicer enzyme to give a ~22nt product. In plants the precursor sequences may be longer, and the carpel factory (caf) enzyme appears to be involved in processing.
Source: Rfam by way of RNAcentral